UCGAAUUAGGAUUUUGCAAAUAUUCGUAAAAUUCGGUUUUCACGGACAAGAAUACCAUAAUCUUCUUUGCUAGUCCUUUUAUUCCUCGAUAUCUUUGUAUUAUUCUAGUUCGGAUAAUAGCCACGCGUCUAUGGAUUGAGAAUGUAUUGGCACGUUGAAUUUUUAGGUAACUACAGUGUCUAAUAUUAGUUUCUCGUGUGCUUUGUAUGACAUUACGGAAAUAGCAUUUCUAUGUAUGGUCCUAAUUCAAUGGACAAUGGAUAUUUUCCAGAAAAUAAUGAUGGUUUCUAUAAUAACGUACCAAUUCAAAAGUUCUUGGCCGGAACAUCAUUCUUAUAACGCACUUUGACCUUGUUCUCAUCAGUAUCGCACAAGGCGAAACGAACGCACGGUCACGCAUGGUUACCGUUGAAUACGUAAAAUACGUCACUCUCAUGAAGUCAUCAAAGCUAUUGCCGCAUAUUGUUGUAUAAAUUCUAUGCCCGCACGGUGUACAUGAUACCUUCUCAUAUUUAAUUUUCAGUAAAUUUCGUAUUCUCGAUGAAAUUAUCGUCAAUGUAAAAUUUCAGUUCAGUUAUGAAAAAACAUAUUGCGCGACAGACCCUUUAGAAGCUACAGAGCAGGUUAUUCUGAAAGGAUCAGUUUUAUCGAAGUGACAAUUACAUGAUAGCGAACAGUGUUUCGAUAUAAAUAAUAAAGUGCAGCGUGAAGAACGUGUAAUAAUGUGAUCAACGAAGCCAAACGAAAUUACAUUAUACCGAAUGAAAAGAUCGUGAAGCGGUUUAACUAGCAGUUUCCGAGCGUAUAAUGAAAAAUUUGAUGGUAAUUUCAUCAGCGAACCGACCAUAAAAAUGAGUACGCUCGAACACACUGAUCGCUUUAAUCCCACGAUAAUGAAUAAGGAUGCACGAAACGAGGACACAUCCAUGUAUCGCAUUGAUUUACGUUAAAGGAAGCUGAUGGUCCCGCGGCAUCGGAAGCAUAACGAAAAAAAGGGGCAAGAAGAGGCGUCGUCUCUCGUUGCGUUCACGGCAAACAGCCCAUAAGCGGACAUACCAAUUUCACAUCUCGUCUCGAAUGAGAUGGUAGGGGGAUGAUACGAAUGCAUAUACAGAAUGUAUAUGAUGUCAUGGACUGUUUCGUUCGGUUUACUCAUGGCAAGGGUAAAGUCUCCUCGCGGACAAUUCUUAAUACCGCGAUAAAUAUUCGAGAGUGUUGGUAAGAACCACGGAGAUACGAGUACGUAGCCAGCCGUACGCGUACGUAAGUAGACGACAGAUCGCGUUUCUCCGUAUACGACCAUGACACUAAAUUACAGACUUAUACAGUGGUUGUCAAUCUGCAUUUACAAGUAAGAUCGUACCAUAUACGCGCGACGCGACGCAAUUAAUCAUCUUUUUCGUGUACUUGAGAAACCAGACUGCCCAGACCCAAUUCAAAGCGUCAUUGUCAUGCCGAGUGAAAAGGGAGCCCAGAAUUAGGACACUUGAUGCAAACACGAAAUAUGUAUCAAGGCAGAUUUCGUUGUCACAAAAGGUGACAGUCACCCGCUACGGUGUUGAUAUCAAUAGAAAUGUAAUUACGAUCUUGAUAUUAAUUUUGCGACGAAUUGAAUCAUGGUCAGGGAUGAAUUGGUGCAUGACAGCCGAUACGAUGUAAUUUUGUUCGUUGAUUCAGGCAUAAGAUGAGACCAUAUGAUACGGAAAACUGUCGGGAGCUAUCGAUAACCGCGCGCGGAGCAGACCACAGGCGGCAUUGGCACGCACGUAAGGGUCCCCUUAUCUCGGGAACAGAAACCACGGGGUCAAUACGCCACCGCUUUGUAAUCAGCCGCGUACCAUGCACGCUUAAACGGAUAAUCAUAUUGACCGCUCGCCAAUAUUAACAUUUUUCGGAAAGCUAUUGCAAGGAAUCAGCCUGCUAGCCUACAUAUUGCUCGAGUGCCCUCACACGCGAGCUCUAUCUUCUUCGCAUAGAGUUUUAUCGAGAUCAACGAAACAACGGGGAUCGUGCUUAUACAAGGACGCAUCCACGCGGACGGAUACACAUAUACUCGUAUAUCUCUCUAGCGUUGCAGAUGCGGUUACCAGAGAGAGAGUAUUGAUGAAACAAUAGAAAGUACAUGAACGCGGUACUGAAAGAACAGACCAUAUCGCGAUCCACAUACGCUCGGAAUGCGAAUGGUUGAAGUAAAUGCGAUGAAAAUCGAUCACAAUUGUCGCAUGAAUGCACCCUUAUAUUCGAGGCACGAUGUAAUAGAGGAUAUAUGUAUAAGCACGAUAGAUUACCGUUUAAAUAUGAAUAACUCCGUUUCUAUUUUCACUUUUGUUUUUUUGAAGAAAAAUUAAUUGCGUUAAUUGAUCGAUACUUUCGUGCACUUUAAGGUCUUCAAAGGAAAUGCUACUCUUAUAUAUGAGGAAAUCGGAUCAUGUGUAGAGCCCCUGUAUAGCGGCAACCGUUAUUACACCGCUGUCGGCUGUAUGGUAGCAUCAUUAGCGUUGUUUUUGUACGAAUCAAAUUUCAAGAAACUAGAAGACUGUAGAAAUUGCGCUUUCUGGAAGACAGAUCAAAGACGACCCACGUCCGAUUUCAUGUACCAUGCACAAAGGCAUCUGUAUUACAUCGGAUCAAAGGGAGAAAAGAAUUUACUUUACGUUCUUCGCUUAACGUACGAUCUUUCUUCUAUUUUACAUACGAGUUAAACAGUUGAAAUGUUCUAAGAUAAAAAGCUAUUCACGAAUCUAAAAUAUCGUGUAUUCAAAUGUAACCAAUAUAAACGAUAUAACUUUUUAAACGAUACUUCAUAAUUUUUCACCUUUUCUUCCACUUUCAAAUGACUACAUAAUUUUUAUUACAAAUAUUUUAAGAAUAUUGAUAAAUAUUGAUAAGAAAAUUUCGAUAAGUUUGAAAAGUUA
Long non-coding RNA from Bombus terrestris (buff-tailed bumblebee), 2915 nucleotides. RefSeq lists it as uncharacterized. The record is from RefSeq and is a predicted model, not a curated record. NCBI's taxonomy places the organism in Eukaryota, Metazoa, Arthropoda, Insecta, Hymenoptera, Apidae. The transcript has 3 exons.